GCCUUCGGGAACUCUGAGACAGGUGCUGCAUGGCUGUCGUCAGCUCGUGUUGUGAAAUGUUGGGUUAAGUCCCGCAACGAGCGCAACCCUUAUCCUUUGUUGCCAGCGGUUCGGCCGGGAACUCAAAGGAGACUGCCAGUGAUAAACUGGAGGAAGGUGGGGAUGACGUCAAGUCAUCAUGGCCCUUACGAGUAGGGCUACACACGUGCUACAAUGGCGCAUACAAAGAGAAGCGACCUCGCGAGAGCAAGCGGACCUCAUAAAGUGCGUCGUAGUCCGGAUUGGAGUCUGCAACUCGACUCCAUGAAGUCGGAAUCGCUAGUAAUCGUAGAUCAGAAUGCUACGGUGAAUAC
RNAcentral lists this ribosomal RNA (353 nucleotides) under Cedecea sp. SB41. Its description in RNAcentral is "bacterial SSU rRNA". It matches the Rfam family "Bacterial small subunit ribosomal RNA", at positions 1016 to 1369 of the family's 1533-position model. The record is from RNAcentral. Lineage: Bacteria; Pseudomonadati; Pseudomonadota; Gammaproteobacteria; Enterobacterales; Enterobacteriaceae.